This 253-nucleotide ribosomal RNA is filed under the name uncultured bacterium. RNAcentral describes it as "partial 16S ribosomal RNA". It matches the Rfam family "Bacterial small subunit ribosomal RNA", at positions 524 to 776 of the family's 1533-position model. The record is from RNAcentral.
UACGUGGGGUGCGAGCGUUGUCCGGAUUUAUUGGGCGUAAAGAGCUCGUAGGCGGUUUGUCGCGUCGGCCGUGAAAUCUCCACGCUUAACGUGGAGCGUGCGGUCGAUACGGGCAGACUUGAGUUCGGUAGGGGAGACUGGAAUUCCUGGUGUAGCGGUGAAAUGCGCAGAUAUCAGGAGGAACACCGGUGGCGAAGGCGGGUCUCUGGGCCGAUACUGACGCUGAGGAGCGAAAGCGUGGGGAGCGAACAGG